AUUGAACGCUGGCGGCAUGCCUUACACAUGCAAGUCGAACGGCAGCAUAGGAGCUUGCUCCUGAUGGCGAGUGGCGAACGGGUGAGUAAUAUAUCGGAACGUGCCCUAGAGUGGGGGAUAACUAGUCGAAAGACUAGCUAAUACCGCAUACGAUCUACGGAUGAAAGUGGGGGAUCGCAAGACCUCAUGCUCCUGGAGCGGCCGAUAUCUGAUUAGCUAGUUGGUGGGGUAAAAGCUCACCAAGGCGACGAUCAGUAGCUGGUCUGAGAGGACGACCAGCCACACUGGGACUGAGACACGGCCCAGACUCCUACGGGAGGCAGCAGUGGGAAAUUUGGACAAUGGGGGCAACCCUGAUCCAGCAAUGCCGCGUGAGUGAAGAAGGCCUUCGGGUUGUAAAGCUCUUUUGUCAGGGAAGAAACGGUUCUGGAUAAUACCUGGGACUAAUGACGGUACCUGAAGAAUAAGCACCGGCUAACUACGUGCCAGCAGCCGCCGUAA
Molecule: ribosomal RNA, 501 nt
Filed under: uncultured bacterium
Lineage: Bacteria
Description: partial 16S ribosomal RNA
Rfam family: Bacterial small subunit ribosomal RNA
Source: RNAcentral